This 517-nucleotide long non-coding RNA is filed under the name Cicer arietinum (chickpea). Its description in RNAcentral is "long non-coding RNA (CARI_LNC003111)". The record is from RNAcentral. Lineage: Eukaryota; Viridiplantae; Streptophyta; Magnoliopsida; Fabales; Fabaceae.
UCUGUUCCUCUUGUGGAGAGGGAACGAGUCCUUCAUCACCUAUAAACUACACACAACGGUUGCUAAAGAAAAGAAAGAAAGAAAAAAAGUAAUAGCAAUAAUAACUAUAAAAGAAUUACCUACCUAAAGGAGAGACAUGGACCUUUUAUUAUCCAUUAUGAAGAAGAAUGAGUGUGAAGGAGGAAGACAAUACAUAACGACACCACUUGGAAUUGGGCGGUGAUAAAUUGGCGCUUUCAAAUCCAAUUCCACACAAGUCUGCAAAGCCCUUUUUCUUUUUCUUUCCAACAAAGAAGGAAGGAAAAUGAUAAACCCCAAAAUAACUACCACCACAACGAAUACAAAUAUAAAAACAGCGUUUCUUUUCGUCUCAAUUUCUAAAACCGCAAGAGAAAUAAAAGAAUAUCCUCUUUGUUUUCUCACAACAGUCCCCAGAAGUUUCUUCCUUCACACAUCUCCAAAGUUAUCCUCCUUCUCAUCUUUCAAGGUUAGUUCUCUCUCUUCAAUGUCAUCAAUU